Molecule: ribosomal RNA, 460 nt
Filed under: Neisseria mucosa
Lineage: Bacteria; Pseudomonadati; Pseudomonadota; Betaproteobacteria; Neisseriales; Neisseriaceae
Description: bacterial SSU rRNA
Rfam family: Bacterial small subunit ribosomal RNA
Source: RNAcentral
AUUGAACGCUGGCGGCAUGCUUUACACAUGCAAGUCGGACGGCAGCACAGAGAAGCUUGCUUCUUGGGUGGCGAGUGGCGAACGGGUGAGUAACAUAUCGGAACGUACCGAGCAGUGGGGGAUAACUAAUCGAAAGAUUAGCUAAUACCGCAUAUAUUCUGAGGAAGAAAGCAGGGGACCAUUUGGCCUUGCGCUGUUUGAGCGGCCGAUAUCUGAUUAGCUAGUUGGUGGGGUAAAGGCCUACCAAGGCGACGAUCAGUAGCGGGUCUGAGAGGAUGAUCCGCCACACUGGGACUGAGACACGGCCCAGACUCCUACGGGAGGCAGCAGUGGGGAAUUUUGGACAAUGGGCGCAAGCCUGAUCCAGCCAUGCCGCGUGUCUGAAGAAGGCCUUCGGGUUGUAAAGGACUUUUGUCAGGGAAGAAAAGGGCGGGGUUAAUACCCCUGUCUGAUGACGUAC